GUUGUAUGGUUAAGUGACUAAGCGUACACGGUGGAUGCCUGGGCAGUCAGAGGCGAUGAAGGACGUACUAACUUGCGAUAAGCGCAGAUAAGGCAGUAAGAGCCGUUUGAGUCUGCGAUUUCCGAAUGGGGAAACCCAACUGCAUAAGCAGUUACUGUUAACUGAAUCCAUAGGUUAACAGAGCAAACCGGGGGAACUGAAACAUCUAAGUACCCCGAGGAGAAGAAAUCAACCGAGAUUCCGGUAGUAGCGGCGAGCGAACCUGGAUUAGCCCUUAAGCACUCGGUGAAGUAGGUGAACAAGCUGGAAAGCUUGGCGAUACAGGGUGAUAGCCCCGUAACCGACGCUUCAUCGAGCGUGAAAUCGAGUAGGGCGGGACACGUGAUAUCCUGUCUGAAUAUGGGGGGACCAUCCUCCAAGGCUAAAUACUCCUGACUGACCGAUAGUGAACCAGUACCGUGAGGGAAAGGCGAAAAGAACCCCUGUGAGGGGAGUGAAAUAGAACCUGAAACCGUGUACGUACAAGCAGUAGGAGCACCUUCGUGGUGUGACUGCGUACCUUUUGUAUAAUGGGUCAGCGACUUAUAUUCAGUGGCAAGGUUAACCGUAUAGGGGAGCCGUAGCGAAAGCGAGUCUUAACUGGGCGCUCAGUCUCUGGAUAUAGACCCGAAACCGGGUGAUCUAGCCAUGGGCAGGUUGAAGGUUGAGUAACAUCAACUGGAGGACCGAACCGACUAAUGUUGAAAAAUUAGCGGAUGACUUGUGGCUAGGGGUGAAAGGCCAAUCAAACUCGGAGAUAGCUGGUUCUCCCCGAAAGCUAUUUAGGUAGCGCCUCGGACGAAUACUACUGGGGGUAGAGCACUGUUAAGGCUAGGGGGUCAUCCCGACUUACCAACCCUUUGCAAACUCCGAAUACCAGUAAGUACUAUCCGGGAGACACACGGCGGGUGCUAACGUCCGUCGUGGAGAGGGAAACAACCCAGACCGCCAGCUAAGGUCCCAAAGUAUUGCUAAGUGGGAAACGAUGUGGGAAGGCUCAGACAGCUAGGAUGUUGGCUUAGAAGCAGCCAUCAUUUAAAGAAAGCGUAAUAGCUCACUAGUCGAGUCGGCCUGCGCGGAAGAUGUAACGGGGCUAAGCAAUACACCGAAGCUGCGGCAAU
The sequence is a ribosomal RNA, 1160 nucleotides long. It matches the Rfam family "Bacterial large subunit ribosomal RNA", at positions 1 to 1209 of the family's 2925-position model.